Centruroides sculpturatus (bark scorpion) is the source of this 1830-nucleotide long non-coding RNA. RefSeq lists it as uncharacterized. NCBI's taxonomy places the organism in Eukaryota, Metazoa, Arthropoda, Arachnida, Scorpiones, Buthidae. The transcript has 3 exons. The record is from RefSeq and is a predicted model, not a curated record.
CGCGUUUUUAACGUUUGUUCGAAAUACGUCACGCAUGACGAAUCGCAGUUCGAUUGUGUUUCUUGUUGCUUUCGGACGUGCUUUUGUUCUGCUCUUGGAUUGCGUUGCUUUUUUUGCGGUUUGUGCACUUUUGCGGAGAGGAUUCAAGAUUUUUUAGGAUGAAGACGUUGCUGCGUUGUUGGAGGCGGUUCCGGCGGAGGCAGGCGGUGGCGCCGGAGGGAGAGGGUUCCUCGGACGACGCGGAACGAGUCUGUCGUUCCGUGCCGUCCGAGGAGCGACAGGCAGCGGGUGAAGAAGGCCUUGGCCAAGUGCGCGUGGCGUGGCAUCCUCCCGGAGUCGGGAUGAUGCGACGCUACACCCAGGGCCCAGUGCGCUUGGCCGAGGUCUUCGGGGGUCAUCCGGCCACAGACCUUGCUGUGGAGGAUGUCGAAAGUGACAGCUCGUCCGAGCUGACACUUUCUGUUUGGUCGUGUUCUGCCCGUUCGUCCGCGACGGCGACGCCACCGCCUUGCCGAAGUCGGGACGGGGAGGAGUCGGAGGAGAGAGCCCCCGAAGUCGAGGGACCGUGCUGUCCGUGGUUUAGUUGCUGCGGACGGCUGCGGUUGCCUUGGCCUAGGCGGUGAUCUUCUUCGAUUUCCUCUUCUUCACCCGGAUGCGACUUUCUUACCGGAUUCGACACUUUUCACCCGGACAUGACACUUUUUAACGGACGUGACCUCUCUUACCCGGACGUGACCCACGGACUUGACACGUUUCUUCACCGGACGCGACAUUCGGCCGACCUUUCUUCCCAAACAGCUGUUAUGAGGAUUGAGCUUCCGGUUAGGGUUCGUUAGGUUAGCCUAGGCUAGGUCGGGUCCUUCGCUCUUCUCAUAACACUGUUCGGGAAGAAAGGCUGUCUAAUUAAGGUAAUAAUCUUGACCUUAGUUAAUGAAUGAAUAAACUUCUCGUUUUCUCACUGCCUUUGUGUUUUAUAGGAACAUUUGGGAGGGAGAAGGAUCUCCCUCCCCAACUUUACCACGAAGAGGACCAAGAAGUGGCCAUUUAUCGCACAAGUGAAUAUUUUCCGAUGACGUGCCGAAGAUGUUCUUCGAUCACACACAUACACACACACGCACGGACAUAACAUCACUGUACACGAAGAUAUACAGCGUUUAACUUUUACUCGAAUUCUCGCACUCACGCAUUUACACGUCAAGCGCCUCGUUCUGUGUAAUUCGACACAAUGAAACAACCCGAACACACGCUUCCCACAAAUCCAACCCCUGGGUCCUCGUCCCGGGAAGUGGAAACGCCAAUUUUAAAGAUUAAAAGACUUUAAAUUGGCGGCCAAAGUGGCUCUGGUAAUCACACAUCUUGCAUUGAUUAAAUGGAAUUUCACACGUUCGCAUCAAUAAUCGCUUUGUUGUAAUCCUACAUAUUUUUGGUUUCUCAAGAUCCACGAUGUGGGCUGCCGAACUGUAUGGAACGGGUCUUGACAGACCGCCCUGGGUUCUUCAACAGUUCGAAUCGAUGUCACAGCGGUAGAUCGAAGUCUUAACCGUUCAAACAUCCGGCUGUCACCUUCUUAUACUAGGUGUUGAAAGUAUAACAAGUAGAGACACUUGCAUAUAAACAGUUUCUUAUUGUACACUAGACACUUGCACAUAAAUUGUUUUUAGUUGGUCGGCACUGUACUAUAUGUCUUACACACUAUAUUAUUUCGGUGAGAAAUUGCCAUUCGAUGUAUACCAUUUUGUUCACGACUCGUUUUCGGUUUUAUUGCCACUUAUUUGUAGCACGACUGGCAGAUUGCCGGACUUCAAAGAACUUGGGUAAAGGUUAUACAUA